This 263-nucleotide ribosomal RNA is filed under the name Branchinella lyrifera. Its description in RNAcentral is "partial 16S ribosomal RNA". Lineage: Eukaryota; Metazoa; Arthropoda; Branchiopoda; Anostraca; Thamnocephalidae. The record is from RNAcentral.
UUCUGUUUACUUGAAGUUAAUUAUUUGGUGAAAAAGCUAAACUUUUCUUAGAGGACGAUAAGACCCUAUAGAUCUUUAUAAGAUUAUAUUAGUUUUUUAGGUGUUAUCAAACUAGUAGAUUUUUUAUUUCGUUGGGGCGACGUUGAGGGUUGAACUAUCUCUCAAAUUGAUAUUACAUUAAUAAAUGAUUUUUGAUCCUUUGUUGAAUUAGGAUAAAGUUACCUUAGGGAUAACAGCGUAAUUUUUCUUGAGAGUCCUUAUCG